AUUGAACGCUGGCGGCAUGCUUUACACAUGCAAGUCGAACGGCAGCGCGGGCUUCGGCCUGGCGGCGAGUGGCGAACGGGUGAGUAAUGCAUCGGAACGUGCCCAGUAGUGGGGGAUAGCCCGGCGAAAGCCGGAUUAAUACCGCAUACGACCUGAGGGUGAAAGCGGGGGACCGAAAGGCCUCGCGCUAUUGGAGCGGCCGAUGUCGGAUUAGCUAGUUGGUGGGGUAAAGGCUUACCAAGGCGACGAUCCGUAGCUGGUCUGAGAGGACGACCAGCCACACUGGGACUGAGACACGGCCCAGACUCCUACGGGAGGGAGCAGUGGGGAAUUUUGGACAAUGGGGGGAACCCUGAUCCAGCCAUGCCGCGUGCGGGAAGAAGGCCUUCGGGUUGUAAAACGCUUUUGUUCGGGAAGAAAACCUCUGGGCUAAUACCCCGGGGGGAUGACGGUACCGGAAGAAUAAGCACCGGCUAACUACGUG
Molecule: ribosomal RNA, 484 nt
Filed under: uncultured bacterium
Lineage: Bacteria
Description: partial 16S ribosomal RNA
Rfam family: Bacterial small subunit ribosomal RNA
Source: RNAcentral